Molecule: ribosomal RNA, 481 nt
Filed under: uncultured bacterium
Lineage: Bacteria
Description: partial 16S ribosomal RNA
Rfam family: Bacterial small subunit ribosomal RNA
Source: RNAcentral
GAUGAACGCUGGCGGCGUGCUUAACACAUGCAAGUCGAACGAAGCAUUUGCGACAGAUUUUUUCGGAAUGAAGUUGCUUAUGACUGAGUGGCAGACGGGUGAGUAACGCGUGGGUAACCUGCCUUGUACUGGGGGAUAGCAGCUGGAAACGGCUGGUAAUACCGCAUAAGCGCACAAUGUUGCAUGACAUGGUGUGAAAAACUCCGGUGGUAUAAGAUGGACCCGCGUCUGAUUAGCUAGUUGGUGAGAUAACAGCCCACCAAGGCGACGAUCAGUAGCCGACCUGAGAGGGUGACCGGCCACAUUGGGACUGAGACACGGCCCAGACUCCUACGGGAGGCAGCAGUGGGGAAUAUUGCACAAUGGAGGAAACUCUGAUGCAGCGACGCCGCGUGAGUGAAGAAGUAAUUCGUUAUGUAAAGCUCUAUCAGCAGGGAAGAUAGUGACGGUACCUGACUAAGAAGCUCCGGCUAAAUACGUG